UGAGGAUGUUCCUUCAGUGUGAAGCAAGCCUAGAGAAGGCGGAAGGUCGGUUCGACCUUGAGGAGAAGGUAGUGGGCAAAGAAACCUAACAUCUGAUGCCAUGAGUUCGGCAUAAUACUACAGAAACUUAUCCUAUAUAAGUUAAGAAAAUCUAUGAUGAGGAAGUCAAAGGGUAGCCAAAGAUCGACCUUCAAAGAUUCCUCAUAAAGGCCUACUCAACCUUGACAAGGAAGAGCUAUCCAUACUCCAGGAACGGCGACCUCCAACCUGAAC
RNAcentral lists this long non-coding RNA (273 nucleotides) under Elaeis guineensis (African oil palm). RNAcentral describes it as "long non-coding RNA (EGUI_LNC037599)". Lineage: Eukaryota; Viridiplantae; Streptophyta; Magnoliopsida; Arecales; Arecaceae. The record is from RNAcentral.